UUUCCGUAGGUGAACCUGCGGAAGGAUCAUUAUUGAAACUUGAAUCGUAGCAUUGAGAACUGUUGCUGACCUGUUAAAGGGUAUGUGCACGUUCGACGUGUUGCGUUCUAUUCAUCCACCUGUGCACCUUUGUAGACUUGAUUAACUUUCGCUUUCCAGCGGUUAGAAGGGCUGCUUUCGAGCUCCCUUUGUCUAUCAAGUCUAUGUCUAUAUAAUCUCUUGUAUGUCUAGAAUGUCUUGUUUAUGGGACGCAAGUCCUUUAAAUCUUAUACAACUUUCAACAACGGAUCUCUUGGCUCUC
RNAcentral lists this unclassified non-coding RNA (301 nucleotides) under plant metagenome. Its description in RNAcentral is "partial contains small subunit ribosomal RNA, internal transcribed spacer 1, and 5.8S ribosomal RNA". The record is from RNAcentral.